Molecule: non-coding RNA, 25 nt
Filed under: Mus musculus (house mouse)
Lineage: Eukaryota; Metazoa; Chordata; Mammalia; Rodentia; Muridae
Source: RNAcentral
UGAUCAUCUUCGUUGUCACGCCUGU